GCCUUCUUGGCGCAGAUGGCAACGCGUAUCCCUAGUAAGGAUAAGAUCACCAGUUCGAUUCUGGUAGAAGGCA
This is a non-coding RNA of Cladochytrium tenue, 73 nucleotides long. Lineage: Eukaryota; Fungi; Chytridiomycota; Chytridiomycetes; Cladochytriales; Cladochytriaceae. The record is from the annotation of a GenBank genome assembly.